Molecule: long non-coding RNA, 869 nt
Organism: Actinia tenebrosa (Australian red waratah sea anemone)
Lineage: Eukaryota; Metazoa; Cnidaria; Anthozoa; Actiniaria; Actiniidae
Source: RefSeq, a predicted model, not a curated record
ACUGCUUAUGUACAACAACGUUCAUAUUGCAAUCACAUUACGUGAAGUAGAAUGAAUCCUAAAUACAAUUAGACGAGUUUAAAGUAUUAUCUGUCUAUUGGAUGAUAAAUAUGAGUAUUAAAAUUUCAUCUCUCAUCAUAAAUCACUAAAGAUCACUCUCUCUCUCUCUCGCCCCCAAGCCUCACACGUCCUCUGGCACCCAGGGUAGAAGACUGCUUUACUAACUUAGAUUCUGCCAACACAAAAUCAGUUUAAAAUUACACUGAAGCCAAAAAGAAAUUAUUCCUUCUUAUCUGCAGUAAUUUAAAUUGUUUGAAAGGUUUUACGUCAAUCCAAGUUUCGUACCUGCGACAACCGCUUCUGCACUUAAUAACAAUGUGAAAGGAAAAGCAAAUACUGGAGGACACCGCAACAGUGUAGCAAAUAAAGUCUACGAAGUCGUGGAAGUAUUUGACAAUCAACCAUCCAAGCCCAACAUCAAGAACAUCAAAGAAGGGCAACAAGAUCUAACGAAUAGAACUAGAAAGGAAGCCUUGUCUACUAUUCCUGAGUCUGGCACCGGUACCACGUUGGUCACCUUCAGAGAACCACAUCAUUAUGAUAGUAUUAUUGAUAAAAAUGACCUUCAAUCACGAUAUGCGCCCGUGUACGAUGUAAUUGAUGGAACACAGUCCAAAGGUGGCUUCAACAAGAGUGAUCCUCGUGCACAUGGUGCCUCCUCGAACAUGCCAAUAGAAAGUGGCCAUGAUUUUUAAAAAAACGGUCAAGAUGGCUCUUUCUGGUCAUUACCGAUGAACAUAAGGUACUGACCAUGCGGAAACAGACUUUUGGGACGAGCUGAAAACAAAUAGAAACGUCGACCACAGAAU